AUGUCUUUGGCACCUUCCAUCCCUUCCAUCAAGGUGAAGGUGGGACGCAUCGCCCCGCCGCCUCCGUACCGGGCAUGCAAGUCGUUCGCCGUGAUCAGGAGCUCCAAGGCCGAGGGGCCCAGGAGACCCACGGCGCCUCCACUGUCGCCGCCCCCGCCUAUGCCUCCCAAGACGCCAGCCCUGUCCACCCCUCCGAGCCUGUCCCAGCCACCGACCCCAGUGAAGCCAGCACAGCCAUCACCUCCUCCUCCCGAGACCAAACCGGCAGUGGCUGCCGCUGCGACGCCACCGGUGGGAGGGGUUGUGACGUUCGAGUACCAGAGGAAGGUGGCCAAGGAGCUACAGGAAUACUUCAAGAAGAAGAAGCUGGAGGAGACCAACCAGGGACCCUUCUUUGGGUGGUUGGCCAAGAAUGAGAUUGCCAAUGGAAGAUGGGCUAUGUUUGGGUUUGCAGUGGGGAUGCUAACAGAGUACGCAACAGGCUCGGAUUUCGUUGAGCAAAUGAAGAUCCUUCUCUCCAAUUUUGGGAUUGUGGAUUUGGAUUGA
This 546-nucleotide ribosomal RNA is filed under the name Triticum aestivum (bread wheat). RNAcentral describes it as "partial small subunit ribosomal RNA". The record is from RNAcentral. Lineage: Eukaryota; Viridiplantae; Streptophyta; Magnoliopsida; Poales; Poaceae.